UACGAAGGAUGCGAGCGUUAUCCGGAUUUAUUGGGUUUAAAGGGUGCGUAGGCGGCCUUAUAAGUCAGUGGUGAAAUCCUAUCGCUUAACGAUAGACGUGCCAUUGAUACUGUAGGGCUUGAGUACAGAUGCCGUUGGCGGAAUGUGUCAUGUAGCGGCGAAAUGCAUAGAUAUGACACAGAACACCGAUUGCGAAGGCAGCUGACGAAACUGUAACUGACGCUGAGGCACGAAAGCGUGGGGAUCAAACAGG
RNAcentral lists this ribosomal RNA (253 nucleotides) under uncultured bacterium. Its description in RNAcentral is "partial 16S ribosomal RNA". It matches the Rfam family "Bacterial small subunit ribosomal RNA", at positions 524 to 776 of the family's 1533-position model. The record is from RNAcentral.